AAAGUUCACGUAUAAAACGACAU
RNAcentral lists this small nuclear RNA (23 nucleotides) under Arabidopsis thaliana (thale cress). RNAcentral describes it as "snRNA_09016". Lineage: Eukaryota; Viridiplantae; Streptophyta; Magnoliopsida; Brassicales; Brassicaceae. The record is from RNAcentral.